CAGCCCCACUACGUCAGUGUUGGGUUCCUCAGUGAACUGCACUAUCAGCCUGCCUGUAGAAACCACAACAACACCAUUGUGGAAUGUGUCAGCAGAAAUGUUGUGUGUGUAGUGAGAGAGGAGCUGCAGGUCACGCAAAAUAAGAGCCAAGAAAAGCAAGGAGAGAAGGAAUGGGAAGGCAUUAUAGCUAUGCUGUCGGACCUAAAACUGAUUACUGCAUUUGUGAUUGGUGCAGCCCUCUCAGCCACCAUCUGUUGUAUCUUCCUGUGUUUGAAAGGGAAAUGUAAAAGG
Salvelinus sp. IW2-2015 is the source of this 291-nucleotide non-coding RNA. The record is from RefSeq and is a predicted model, not a curated record. Lineage: Eukaryota; Metazoa; Chordata; Actinopteri; Salmoniformes; Salmonidae.